This 961-nucleotide ribosomal RNA is filed under the name uncultured Verrucomicrobiota bacterium. RNAcentral describes it as "bacterial SSU rRNA". It matches the Rfam family "Bacterial small subunit ribosomal RNA", at positions 524 to 1482 of the family's 1533-position model. The record is from RNAcentral. Lineage: Bacteria; Pseudomonadati; Verrucomicrobiota.
UACAGAGACUGCAAGCGUUAUUCGGAUUCACUGGGCGUAAAGGGUGCGCAGGCGGUUGCGUGUGUUGGAUGUGAAAGCCUGGGGCUCAACCCCAGAAUUGCGUCCAAAACUACGCGACUAGAGUACCGGAGAGGAUAGCGGAAUUCACGGUGUAGCAGUGAAAUGCGUAGAUAUCGUGAAGAACACCAGCGGCGAAGGCGGCUAUCUGGAAGGUAACUGACGCUCAGGCACGAAAGCGUGGGGAGCAAAAGGGAUUAGAUACCCCUGUAGUCCACGCCCUAAACGGUGCACACUAGGUGUUAGCGGAUUCGACCCCGUUAGCGCCCAAGCUAACGCGUUAAGUGUGCCGCCUGAGGACUACGGCCGCAAGGCUAAAACUCAAAGGAAUUGACGGGGGCCCGCACAAGCGGUGGAGCAUGUGGCUCAAUUCGAUGCAACGCGAAGAACCUUACCAGGCCUUGACAUGCAUUGGACCGACGCUGAAAGGCGUCUUUCCCGCAAGGGACCGAUGCACAGGUGCUGCAUGGCUGUCGUCAGCUCGUGUCGUGAGAUGUUGCCUUAAGUGGCGCAACGAGCGCAACCCCUGUCCCUAGUUGCCAUCAUUCAGUUGGGCACUCUAGGGAGACAAACCUCUUUUAGAGGUGGGAAGGUGGGGAUGACGUCAAGUCAGGAUGGCCCUUACGGCCUGGGCUGCACACGUGCUACAAUGCUCGGCACAGAGGGAAGCGAAACCGCGAGGUGGAGCAAAUCCUCAAAACCGAGCCCAGUUCAGAUUGGAGUCUGCAACUCGACUCCAUGAAGCCGGAAUCGCUAGUAAUGGCGCAUCAGCUACGGCGCCGUGAAUACGUUCCCGGGUCUUGUACACACCGCCCGUCACGUCAUGAAAGCCGGUUUCGCCCGAAGUACGCUUGCCAACCCUUAAAAGAGGCGGCGUCCUAAGGUGAGGCUGGUGAUUGGGACG